Molecule: ribosomal RNA, 514 nt
Filed under: uncultured bacterium
Lineage: Bacteria
Description: partial 16S ribosomal RNA
Rfam family: Bacterial small subunit ribosomal RNA
Source: RNAcentral
GAUGAACGCUGGCGGCGUGCCUAAUACAUGCAAGUCGAGCGAACUGAUUAGAAGCUUGCUUCUAUGACGUUAGCGGCGGACGGGUGAGUAACACGUGGGCAACCUGCCUGUAAGACUGGGAUAACUUCGGGAAGCCGAAGCUAAUACCGGAUAGGAUCUUCUCCUUCAUGGGAGAUGAUUGAAAGAUGGUUUCGGCUAUCACUUACAGUUGGGCCCGCGGUGCAUUAGCUAGUUGGUGAGGUAACGGCUCACCAAGGCAACGAUGCAUAGCCGACCUGAGAGGGUGAUCGGCCACACUGGGACUGAGACACGGCCCAGACUCCUACGGGAGGCAGCAGUAGGGAAUCUUCCGCAAUGGACGAAAGUCUGACGGAGCAACGCCGCGUGAGUGAUGAAGGUUUUCGGAUUGUAAAGCACUGUUGUAAGGGAAGAAUAAGUUAGAGAGGAAAUGAUCUAACGAUGACGGUACCUUACCAGAAAGCCACGGCUAACUACGUGCCAGCAGCCGCGGUAA